GAGACUCUGUGCGCGUGCAUAUCAAUAAGCGGAGGAAAAGAAACUAACAAGGAUUCCCCUAGUAACGGCGAGUGAAGCGGGAAGAGCUCAAAUUUGAAAUCUUAAAGGGUUUCCCUUUACGAAUUGUAGUUUAAAGAAGUGUUUUCUGUUGGAGUUUCGGUAAAAGUUCUUUGGAAUAGGACAUCAUAGAGGGUGAGAAUCCCGUAUCUGACCAGUUACUUUCCAGCUGUGUGAUACACUUUCAAAGAGUCGGAUUGUUUGGGAAUGCAGUCCAAGAUGGGUGGUAAAUUUCAUCUAAAGCUAAAUAUUGGCGAGAGACCGAUAGCGAACAAGUACCGUGAGGGAAAGAUGAAAAGAACUUGAAAAGAGAGUUAAACAGUACGUGAAAUUGUCAAAAGGGAAGCGUUUGACACCAGUGUUGUUUAGUUGAAAAUCAAUUCAAUAGUUUUUGAUUUUAAGUAGUAUUGACUUCAUCAGCUUGCUAGCUUUCUUUUCAGGAAUUAUUGAAUGCACUUUUCAGUUAACAAGUCAACAUCAAUUUCUUUUGUUGUAAAAGGGUAAGAGGAAGGUGGCUUACGCUUCGGCGUAAGUGUUUAUAGCCUUUUACCUCUGCAAUCGGAGAGAUUGAGGACAGCAGCGUAGACUCCUUCGGGGUUAGAUACACUUGUGCUAAGCUAUAGCCUUGUAUAGACAACUUGUUGACUAUGCUCAGUCAUGUAGCUUACUCGCUUAUGCUAUUUUACCUACGCUUAGGAUGUUGACAGCAGUAUAGACUGU
This 777-nucleotide ribosomal RNA is filed under the name uncultured Neocallimastigales. RNAcentral describes it as "partial large subunit ribosomal RNA". It matches the Rfam family "Eukaryotic large subunit ribosomal RNA", at positions 23 to 634 of the family's 3401-position model. The record is from RNAcentral. Lineage: Eukaryota; Fungi; Neocallimastigomycota; Neocallimastigomycetes; Neocallimastigales.